CCUUCGAUAGCUCAGUUGGUAGAGCGGUGGACUGUAGAAAAUUUGGAAAGUGAACAAACUGCUCCUCUACAGGGAGGUGCAUUUGAUCAAUCAAAAGCUUUCCGAUCGUGUAGAGAAAUCCAUAGGUCACUGGUUCAAAUCCGGUUCGAAGGA
Molecule: transfer RNA, 153 nt
Filed under: Anopheles minimus
Lineage: Eukaryota; Metazoa; Arthropoda; Insecta; Diptera; Culicidae
Description: tRNA tRNA-Tyr
Rfam family: tRNA
About the family: Transfer RNA (tRNA) molecules are approximately 80 nucleotides in length. Their secondary structure includes four short double-helical elements and three loops (D, anti-codon, and T loops).
Source: RNAcentral